AGGUUGUUCUGGCGGCUCAGCUACUUUGCUGGACGGCGCAAAUUUUAGGUCACCUACUCUUUGAGAAAAGAGCUCCAGCUCUCCUUGACAACCUUGUGGAGACCUUGCUGACAGCUCCAUUCUUCGUUUUACUAGAGGUUCUGAAAAAUAUAUGUGGAUACGAACCAUAUCCUGGUUUUCAUGCUAGUGUCAAAGUAAAAAUUGAGGAUGCCUGAAGGGAUUGAUCGAUAAACAAGGGGAGAACACCUUUAUCCCGUCUGCUUGCAUACUUAG
Long non-coding RNA from Zingiber officinale, 273 nucleotides. RefSeq lists it as uncharacterized. NCBI's taxonomy places the organism in Eukaryota, Viridiplantae, Streptophyta, Magnoliopsida, Zingiberales, Zingiberaceae. The transcript is spliced from 3 exons. The record is from RefSeq and is a predicted model, not a curated record.